UUACCUAAAAUUUGUAUGGAGUUGGAAAGUUUGCCUAAGUUUGCCGCUAGGGGCGCUGUUUCAACUGCAUACAAAUUUGAGUUA
Molecule: non-coding RNA, 84 nt
Organism: Bombyx mori (domestic silkworm)
Lineage: Eukaryota; Metazoa; Arthropoda; Insecta; Lepidoptera; Bombycidae
Source: Rfam